ACGGGAGGCAGCAGUAGGGAAUCUUCCGCAAUGGGCGAAAGCCUGACGGAGCAAUGCCGCGUGAGUGAAGAAGGCCUUCGGGUCGUAAAACUCUGUUAUAAGAGAAGAACAAAUUGUAGAGUAACUGCUACAGUCUUGACGGUAUCUUAUCAGAAAGCCACGGCUAACUACGUGCCAGCAGCCGCGGUAAUACGUAGGUGGCAAGCGUUGUCCGGAUUUAUUGGGCGUAAAGGGAGCGCAGGUGGUUUCUUAAGUCUGAUGUGAAAGCCCACGGCUUAACCGUGGAGGGUCAUUGGAAACUGGGAAACUUGAGUACAGAAGAGGAAUGUGGAACUCCAUGUGUAGCGGUGGAAUGCGUAGAUAUAUGGAAGAACACCAGUGGC
This 383-nucleotide ribosomal RNA is filed under the name Aerococcus sp. C06_43. RNAcentral's name for it is "bacterial SSU rRNA". It matches the Rfam family "Bacterial small subunit ribosomal RNA", at positions 341 to 716 of the family's 1533-position model. RNAcentral also lists the same sequence under 1 other name. Lineage: Bacteria; Bacillati; Bacillota; Bacilli; Lactobacillales; Aerococcaceae. The record is from RNAcentral.